CCUACGGGGGGCAGCAGUGGGGAAUAUUGGACAAUGGGGGGAACCCUGAUCCAGCCAUGCCGCGUGUGUGAAGAAGGCCCUCGGGUUGUAAAGCACUUUCAGUGAGGAAGAACGCCUGGUGGUUAAUACCCAUCAGGAAAGACAUCACUCACAGAAGAAGCACCGGCUAACUCCGUGCCAGCAGCCGCGGUAAUACGGAGGGUGCGAGCGUUAAUCGGAAUUACUGGGCGUAAAGCGCGCGUAGGUGGCUUGAUAAGCCGGUUGUGAAAGCCCCGGGCUCAACCUGGGAACGGCAUCCGGAACUGUCAAGCUAGAGUGCAGGAGAGGAAGGUAGAAGUCCCGGUGUAGCGGUGAAACGCGUAGAGAUCGGGAGGAGUACCAGUGGCGAAGGCGGCCUUCUGGACUGACACUGACACUGAGGUGCGAAAGCGUGGGUAGCAAACAGGAUUAGAUACCCCUGUAGUC
This 465-nucleotide ribosomal RNA is filed under the name Vreelandella stevensii. RNAcentral's name for it is "partial 16S ribosomal RNA". It matches the Rfam family "Bacterial small subunit ribosomal RNA", at positions 338 to 795 of the family's 1533-position model. The record is from RNAcentral. Lineage: Bacteria; Pseudomonadati; Pseudomonadota; Gammaproteobacteria; Oceanospirillales; Halomonadaceae.